GAGCUUGCUCAAAGAUGGUGAGAGUGGCGCACGGGUGCGUAACGCGUGAGCAACCUACCUCUAUCAGGGGGAUAGCCUCUCGAAAGAGAGAUUAACACCGCAUAACAUCAACAGUUCGCAUGUUCAGUUGAUUAAAUAUUUAUAGGAUAGAGAUGGGCUCGCGUGACAUUAGCUAGUUGGUAGGGUAACGGCUUACCAAGGCGACGAUGUCUAGGGGCUCUGAGAGGAGAAUCCCCCACACUGGUACUGAGACACGGACCAGACUCCUACGGGAGGCAGCAGUAAGGAAUAUUGGUCAAUGGGCGGAAGCCUGAACCAGCCAUGCCGCGUGCAGGAUGACUGCCCUAUGGGUUGUAAACUGCUUUUGUCCAGGAAUAAACCCAGAUACGUGUAUCUGGCUGAAUGUACUGGAAGAAUAAGGAUCGGCUAACUCCGUGCCAGCAGCCGCGGUAAUACGGAGGAUCCGAGCGUUAUCCGGAUUUAUUGGGUUUAAAGGGUGCGUAGGCGGCCAAUUAAGUCAGGGGUGAAAUACGGUGGCUCAACCAUCGCAGUGCCUUUGAUACUGAUUGGCUUGAAUCCAUUUGAAGUGGGCGGAAUAAGACAAGUAGCGGUGAAAUGCAUAGAUAUGUCUUAGAACUCCGAUUGCGAAGGCAGCUCACUAAGCUGGUAUUGACGCUGAUGCACGAAAGCGUGGGGAUCGAACAGGAUUAGAUACCCUGGUAGUCCACGCCCUAAACGAUGAUAACUCGAUGUUGGCGAUAGACAGCCAGCGUCCCAGCGAAAGCGUUAAGUUAUCCACCUGGGGAGUACGCCCGCAAGGGUGAAACUCAAAGGAAUUGACGGGGGCCCGCACAAGCGGAGGAGCAUGUGGUUUAAUUCGAUGAUACGCGAGGAACCUU
This 899-nucleotide ribosomal RNA is filed under the name feces metagenome. RNAcentral describes it as "bacterial SSU rRNA". It matches the Rfam family "Bacterial small subunit ribosomal RNA", at positions 76 to 972 of the family's 1533-position model. The record is from RNAcentral.